CAGUCGCCGCGGUAAUACGUAGGGUGCAAGCGUUAAUCGGAAUUACUGGGCGUAAAGCGUGCGCAGGCGGUUAUAUAAGACAGAUGUGAAAUCCCCGGGCUCAACCUGGGAACUGCAUUUGUGACUGUAUAGCUAGAGUACGGCGGAGGGGGAUGGAAUUCCGCGUGUAGCAGUGAAAUGCGUAGAUAUGCGGAGGAACACCGAUGGCGAAGGCAAUCCCCUGGGCCUGUACUGACGCUCAUGCACGAAAGCGUGGGGAGCAAACAGGAUUAGAUACCCCCGUAGUCCCUGUCUCUUAUAC
Molecule: ribosomal RNA, 301 nt
Filed under: uncultured bacterium
Lineage: Bacteria
Description: partial 16S ribosomal RNA
Rfam family: Bacterial small subunit ribosomal RNA
Source: RNAcentral